Long non-coding RNA from Pangasianodon hypophthalmus (striped catfish), 7031 nucleotides. RefSeq lists it as uncharacterized. The transcript is spliced from 3 exons. The record is from RefSeq and is a predicted model, not a curated record. Lineage: Eukaryota; Metazoa; Chordata; Actinopteri; Siluriformes; Pangasiidae.
GGACUGGGAAACCAAAAUAGGGAAUUCAUCAACUUCUGGUGAGUCAACUUUGUCUCUUCAGACUAAAAUUUACUAAAGACUCCAGUCCGCUUUAAGAAGCUGCCUGUAGUUGGGUCUGAUGGAACUGUAUGGGAUGUAAUGGAUUAUACAUUCUCGGCAAUUCAGUUAUUUGCUAAACAGGAAUAUCUUCUCAUAAGUCUAACUGCAAGGACUAUACAACUGAUGUGGAAUGUGAAACUUCAUCACAGUUCGGGCUCAAACUGAGGUCAAGAUAAACUGCAACAUAUAUGGAAUGUACAUUCUCCAGGAAUUUUGGUAUUUCACUUGGCUUUGUUCCAGGGGUCAGAGUCUUUGAAGGUAGACUUCACAGCCAACCCUGCAAAUAUGGUAUGCAAGCAGAUGCUGGGUACUGAUAUCACACUGGCAACAACUACACAAAGACUGCACUUCUGAAGUGUGUGAACAUGGGUCUGCUAUCCAGGAACACAUUCACUCAAUUAAGGCUGCAUGGUCCAUUUAUGUGAUAAAAGAGUUCUGGCAGGAUGAGCAUGAUUGACUGACACGGUUCCAAUAAUGACUCUGUAGUCCUGUGUAAAUUAUAUUAUCCUGACAACUCAGGCUGACUAUCCAAGAUAUUUUCAGUUACAGUGUUCAUUAUUGAUUUAUACAAGCAUUCCUUGUUCUUUAUGGUCUCCUGACUAGUGAAUGGGAGAGUAUACUUACCUGGUAUUUGAUGAUUUUCUGUGUUUUUUUAUUCUUGGUGCACCUUCAGCCAAUAAUUUACAGAGUAUAUUGUAUGUUUAAGCUUCUGCAAAGGUAACUGUACACAGAAUGACAUGCACACAAGAAUGGAAAAUGAGUCAAAAGCCAUUGUCUAUAUUGCUAUUACUGGGCAAGAAAGAGAUGUGGAUGUAGGCAAUUCGAACAAUUGCAUUGAGUUCAAAUUAAAUUCUGUUAAAUUCAGUUCCAUUUGUGUAGUGACAGUGUCAAGGAAAAAUUCCUGAACCCAUAAUCAGAGUUGAGUUAAGGACUCCCGGUGAGCAUUUAAUGCCAACUACAGACUUUUAAGCUCUAGUUGCACAAUGGUUGGAGUCUGGCAUCACGCCAUGGUCAAAGUCACUGAGAUCAAUUUUUCCCGAUUUGGAGGUUUGAUGUGAACAUUAACUGAAGCUCUAGGCCUGGAUGUGUGUGAUUUUAUGCAUUUCACUGUUGUCACAUUAUUGGCAGAUCGAAUAAUUGCAUGAAGGAGCAGAGGUACUGGUGUUCCUAUUAAAGUGGCCAGUUUAAAUGCAAGUGCUUCUUUGGUCCAGAAGCUAUUGAGAAACUCCAAGUCAGAUGCUUUUACUUUGAAGACUUACAAAUUUCCCCAUGUAAACACUGAUGUAAUAUUUGGACUUAAGUCACAGCCUUAAGUCACUAACCCUAAAUACAACCAAACAUGUUUUUGUAAUCGUCCUGUCUUUGCAAUGAUUGUUCAAACACAAUGGGUUUAUAUACAAAUUGAACCAGGAAGUCAACCGGGAAUGAACAGCAGGGACGUGUUAGUAUCUGGGAAAUUGUGACCUCUGAUGGUUGGGGAGGCAUAACAUUCUGAGCUGGUUUGAUAGAACACCCCCCUCCCCCAGCAGAUUGCUCCUGAAGCUGAACCACUCCUGCAGUGGGGCCUACCACUGGCCCAUCUAUGAUAAUUUGUGGAUUUAGAAUGUCUUCUGCAGUAACUCAGCAGCCUUCCCUGGGACCAUACACCUCCCUGUCCUUGUGACAGAAUAUUCCCCCGGCCCCACUGCUUGGAGUCAAGGAGGGUCUGAACAAGGUAGUCUCAGAUGCAGGUCCCUGGUGAAAAGACUGACCAUUUGGCCUGGGCACAGGCAUGGACAAGAUCUCUGCCAUCAGUUUACUUGGACCUUCUGCUGCUGUACCACUCAGAGCAGUUGGACAUGAGCUGCCUCCCAGGAUUAUUCGCUUUUCCUCAUCAACUCAUCAAUGGCAAGGACCUCAGACAGUUGUCCAGAGAAUGGGAAUACUGGGGGUUGAUAACCCAACACAUGUUGAAAUGUAGUGAAGCCAGUAAAGGAUUGAGAAAGCUCUGUGCAUAUGCUGCUCAGCCAAGGUACCUACUCCAUUCCUGCUGGUUGUUCCUCGAAUCAGAGGAACUGACCAAUCUCUUGGUUCACACAUUCCACUUGACCAUUCGACUGUGAGUGAUAUCCACAAGAGAGACUUACAUUCAUGAUGAGUUGGUGACAAAUGGCUUUCCAAACAUGUGGCAUGAAUUGCAUUCCCCUUUCUAAGACAUUGUCUUCUGGAGUGCCAUGAUAGUUAUCGAUUAGUGAAGUUGCUUAGCAAUAUCCACCAGAACUAGUUUGUUACCAGCAUUAUUUUUCUCUGAGCUGAGUGAGGUGCCGACUGAGUCAAUGUCACAUGAUAUGGUGCAUAUAUUUUCAGGAGGUCAUUCUAGUGGUGUGGUUUCAACAUUCUGAGUCCUAAUGAUGCCUUCCAUAAUCUUCCAUCAAACAAGGGCUCUAAAAAACAGGAUGUUUGGAAAAGAGUGUUCUCUGCCAGUCUCCGAUAGGGAUCGUCAUGGACUCAGGACAGUGCAUCUGCUUUCGUGUUCUUUGAUCCUGGUCUAUUUGUAAAACAAAAGUGGUUAAAAAAAGAGGGCCUGAUGGGCCUGGUAGAAUACAGUUUUUAAGCUGACUUAACAUAUUCAAAAAUCUUUUGGUCAGUGAGGAAUCAGAAGAGAUGUUUAUCACUCUUCAGCCACUGUCUCCUGAUUUCUAAAGCUGCCAUUAUGGCUAAUACGUAGCUUCUGGUUUCCUACAUGAAAAUUAUUCUCUGCUAGGUUGAGCUUCCUGAAGAAGCAGGCACAUCUGUGUAAUGUUGAAGGCCCAUGUAACUAUGACUAUAGUAUAGAAUCUGGGCAAUGGCAGAUAGUGCACUAAAAUGAUCCUACAAAGCAUGGCUGAAAAUGCUUUAGACAUAGCAUCAUUCCAUUUCAGGUUUGGGUUUUCUCUUGAACAAUGAGGUGACGGGGGCGGCCACAGAACUGAAGCCCUGAAUGAAAAUUUUAUAAAGUUACUGUGUCCUAGGAACCUCUGAAACCUCUUGAUCCUAUUGUGCUGGGGCCAGGAAGUUACAGCCUAAACUCUGGCUUUGUCUAUCUCAACCCCCUGUUCGGAGGUUUGCCGAAUUCACAUCUUUCCUGUUUGACCUAGAGUCAGUUUUAUAGAAGCUUUGUUACAGCUUGAGAGACAUUUCUAUAUUCUCCUGUUCUGAGGUACAAAAUAUAAGAAUAUAUAUUUAUGUAGAACACGGCAAACUAGUUCAAGAGCUCACAGACUUUCACGCUAAUAAAAGUCUGGAAAAGUGAGGGAGCAUUGAUCAAUCCAUAAGACAUUACCAGAUAUUCGUAGAGACAAGUGUUGGUGAUGAAGGGCAUCUUCUAGUCCUCUCCCUCUCUAAUACACAUGAGGCUGUAAGCACUGCACAGGUCAAGCUUGUUGAUGAUUUGUGCUCCUCAAAGACACUAAUGGGGAAAAUGUAUUAGUAUUUAAAGCCUUGUAAUUAAUUCAGGGUCAAAGAACUCCAUCCCUUUCUCCACACAUGGAACAAGCUUCAGGGAACAACAGAAAUACUUUUCAGGUUUUCAUGUGAGUUUGAUUUGAGUGGUAUGACCAUGAGUUUUUUACAGUACAAGCUCAAAGUACUAUUUCUUCCCUCCAUUCUUCCAGGAUGGAUAUGGAUGGAUUAGGAUAUGGAUGGAUUAUGAACAGCAACAUUCCAGGGGAUACCCAAAACACUGGGGUUAUGAGGGGGACAGGAUGAUGAGAAAUGAGAUUCUGUAUGCAAGUGAUGGUACAAGGCUCAUUCUGGGGCCAUGCAGUGAUUUCAGCGUUAUAAUGUAAUUUUGUCCACAGUACAUACUCAGGUCUUCCAUCCUUUGGUAGAGUUUUUCCUCCAUGGACAAUUUUGAAUAACUGACCUCUAUUAUUUUCUGAUUUCCACUCAACAGUAGCCUAAGACAAAACCUUGUGGGAGACUGUAUCUUUAUUUAUGCAAACAAACCGAUAGUUGUCUGUCAAAUAAAAUUUAAAAUCCAGCAAGAACUAGUGUAACUAGUUAAACAAGGCAAGCAGUUGGUCGUUGAUUGCUUCCUGUAACCAGACUGAAUAUUGUAAAAAGGAUUCACUGUAUCCAUUACAGCAGAAAGGAAUUUGGCAGGUGAAUUUAUCCAUUCAAUUUAUCAGGAGUAAUUAUCCACUACAGCUGAAAGGUGCAUCAUAAUUGCAAAUAACUCCAAGAUGAAGAAGCAUGAGGAACAGUUGACCAACUUUUUUUAAACUUGAGCGGAACAAUAGGCAUAUAAGCAGAUAUCUGUGUUGAUGAGUAAAGGACCUCUAGGAAUGUCUUCCUAUUCAAUCAGGUUCUAAUCUUGAAAACGAGCAUGAUGCUUGUUUUCAAAUCUCACCUUUUAAUUCCUAAUGUCCAGACUUAUGAAAAGCAAUGACAAAUCCAUGGCAUUAUGAAAAGCGAUGUCAAGUACAUGGCAUUUUCCAUUCCUUUGAGAUAUGGCAUGAGGCCUUGAUCUUAGCCAAGAGAUGCUAUGCUGUCAGUGCUUCUUCAAGUGUAUACAGAUUAUAUAACAUUUUAUAAGUUUUGCAAAAAAGUUUGAGAGGUUAUUUUAAGAAAGCAUGUUGUUAUGAGCAAUGUUUGACAAAAAGUUCAAUGUUCUGCUUUACAGGACAACACCUGGUCAGCACAUCAUUUCACUCUUUAUUACGGAUGUACUGAACUAUUUUAUGGUAUUUAUGGUGAGACAAGACAGCUGAGAACAUACUGCAGAACAUACUGCAGAUCAUGGCAAGGGUUUCAUUGAAACAAAAAAAAAUUAUGUCAUUGAAUUGUAUUGGGGAAAUAUACAGAUUACUGACACUGCUAGUUAUGUUUGUCAUGUAUCUUUGGGCUGGUGUGUUUCACAAUGUUUUUAAUAAGCAUACAUGGGCCUGUGGAAGAUGUCAACAUGACAGUCUGACGGGUGAUCAAAGCAAAAAAUUGAUGCAGUCAGGCUCUUCUGCACAUUGUCCAUUCUCCAAGAUUAUGCCUGAUGUGUGGCGGCUGGGAACAAUCUCGAAAUCGGUACCUUGAAUGAAACAAUUUAGGUUAGUAGGAUAAUAGUGAGUGAAGUAUAGUUUAGUGUAGGAUAAGAGAAUUUCUAUUAUAUAAUACAAAACCAAAAAAAUAUUUAGGUCAAAACCUUAAAUGUACACAUUUUAAUUAUAUGUAAAAUUUUCAUCUAAUUUACGCAUAUACGUCUUAUUUAAAAGAGAAUGUUUAUAUUUUCAUUGCACACAUAUUAAACAUGUUUAUUUUAUAUUCAACAGAUUUAUUUUUCUGCUUAUUUAAUUUGGACAAAUAAAGUAUGUACAUAUGCAAAAUAAAAAAUUCACAGUAGGUCUUCAUAUUCAUCAUAUCAAGCACUUAAAAACAUUCAUGCUGCAUAAACUAACUGUGUGAAUAAGCUGCCUUAAUCCCCUAGAACCUGUCCUGAUAUGCAUUUUAUCAUCUGUGGAUCCAAGCACACUAGGUAAAUAUUUAUGGUAAAUACUUUUUUUCCCCCAACAUCCAGUUUACAUCUGGUUGUUAUGUGUCUUGUAUCUGGAUUGUAUCCUGAUAAGAUUUUAACCAUAUGCAUUUACUCUUGCAGUCAAAUGUGUCUCCAGUUUGCCAUAUUUAAUGCAGAACUAGCUAUAAAUGAUGGAAUAUCUCUAACUAUAUCUCACAUUCUAUAUGUACAUAUUUUAUAAUAUCUUCAAAAAUAUCAAGGACGUUGCCAAAAAAAACAUGGCUGACAUCAUUUCUUAUUUGCAUUGGCUAAGAUUCACGCUCAAUGCUGCCAAAACUAGGAUUUAUGUAGUAAUAACAUACAUACAGUAUAUAUCAUAUACUGGAUAAUUCAUAGAUGUGUUUAUAUAAUUUAUAAUGUAAGAUCCACAAAUAUGAUGUGAAUAUUGACUUAAUGUAAUGAAAAGAGGUUGUAAACUGUGGCGUAAAGGAAAGUAUUGCUUCAGAGUGAUUGGCCAUUUGCCUUUCUGCUUAUUACAGAACACAAAAAUCACAUUUUCAGAAUGACUCCCAAACAUGGGCCAAAAAACCCCAGACACAACAAUUUCAUUUUGAACCUCUGGUAUACAUGCUCUUUUUAUUAAGCCAAAUUGCUUUGUGGUUUAGAAUGAAGAUAAUUCUGAGCAAGAGAGGAAUGGCCUGAGCUGAACUAAUCUAGUAAGUGUCUGUCUAGGAUAGAUUUAUAUAUAUAUGAAUGAAACAAAAUGCUUUCUCAAAUUUAAAAUAAUAUCUUAUUGGAAUCACUUUAUUUUUCUGAAUUUUGACAGGUAUUUUUUACAGACUGAAUAACAAAAUACAAAACUGAUGGACUCCUAAACAAUUGACAAACCAGUUAUACGUGAUACAGAUUGUAAAAUGGUUUAGAAUACUUAGCAGGCCUUUAGAGAAGUUUCCUGAGAAUCAGGGGUGGAAGAUACUGAGUAAUUAUACUUUGUUACUCUACUUAAUCAUCAUACAUCAUACAUCAUCAUCCACUGAAAACUCAAACUCCCAGAAUUCUGCCCUUCUACAUAACACUUCCACACUGGACUUAAAGUCCCAGAAUCAAAUAGAACUACAAACCACAUCACAAGUUCAAAUGCAUCAUCCAUUUGUCAGAUCCCAAUCACCAGAAUUCUAACUGACUCACCUGUCUUCAAUCACACACACACACACACACACACACACACUUAAAUAGACUGAGUUCACUGAAUAAAGUUUUGCUCCUAUCUUGUUUAGCAUUGAAUUUGGCUUCUUUGCUCUUUGUGUACAGUAUUCCAUUUGUUAAAGUCAUUAUUAUUAUAGCUUUCAUUUGUCCUUUGACUUGGAUUUUGGCCUGCUGUUUGCCUGACCUCUUGCACAUUUGUUGCUGGAUUUGCGCUUUUGUUUUGUUUGCCAUUUUCUAAGUAAAUCCUGAACUUGAAUCCUAA